CGGCGCGCAGGCGCCCCAGGGGCGGGUUGAGCGGAGGUGAAGAUGGCGGCCAAGGGGAGCGCGGAAGAAAGAGGCAGCUGAAGGCGCGGCCCAGCCCGGCCCGAGCAGCGGAGGAAUGGGCGGCGAGGGAAGGCAGCAGGUCCCGGGGAGGACGGCGGGGGAGACACCAGUGGCGGCCGGUUCUUGAAUCCCUGCUAUGGUUGGAACAGAAGUUUGAGAUCUGCAUUCCAAACCCAUUCACUGCAGAAAAAAACCAUGUCAGAAAGAAGUUGCAUCAACCUGUCCUCUCCCUCUUUUUGUUGUAAGAAACCGUGCAAUUUGAAAAGGCCUGGAUUAGCAGCUGUUCUUGGCCACAGCUCUCUGCCUGAUCACCAUCGGUGAGAAAUGAUGAAGUGAUGCUAACCGCUAAUCUCUUCGCUGCACUGAGACCUACUGCCACCUCACGGUUCCACCCUUUCCCCUGAGUUACUGUUCAAACAAACCACCAGGCUGCUGCUUGAAGUUCCUCACUCUCUGUACCUGUGAGAUCCAGCACCAUGCUAGUUGCUAAGUUCCUUCUUGCAUAAAUGGAACUGCCCAGAUUCUCAUGUCAACAUGCAGUUUGAAGGAUGCAAGAGGCAGAUCAAAGCCCCCUGCCAUGCCGCAGUGUCUGAUGCUGAGGAAUGGCCUUCUCGGCUUGGAUUGAAUUGUUAUUGAGGGGGCACUAUGGAAUUUUAAUUCAAGUCAUUUCAUCAUCAUGCUAAUACUCAUUUAGAAAACCCACAGUUAUGUUCUUGCCUCGACAUGUGGCAAACCUAGUGUGCGUUCCGCGUCACAAGAUGCGGUGCCCAGCAGCUUGCUCGCCACAGUAUUGCUGCUCUGCAUCGCUAUUUACCAUAGCACAAUUGGCAACCAUAUUUUCUCGCAAUACGCAUCUGAAACAAGGUCUAUUUUAUAUUUAACUGCUGGCUCUUGCCCCGCCUGGUGCUCAAUUUACUGUGAUGACUUCACUUUCUUUUUGGGGAAACCCCAGCUCACAGACUUGCAGGCACCUGACUGCUGAUCCAGAUUGUGUCUAAGCAGCAUCAGGUGCAGGCAAGCCUAUGAAUUAAAAAAAAAAAAGAUGACCUGGUACCUAAUCUCUCUCCACCCAUUGAACUGUCCCAUUAUUAUUAGAUGUAAAUGUAAAAAUUAUAAGAUGUAAAAAUAAUCACUGCUAUCAUCAAUCCCUCCCACACCCCAGAAAACAAUCCACUAAAAAAUGCUGAAAGUACGCAUCAGGGCUGCCUGUAAGUUGUUGCCCAAAAUGCCAGCUGUGCCAUUUUGGGUACAGACUGUGUGUUUGCAGUGUUUUCUGCAGACUGCCCCUGAAUGGACAGCUGGUUGGGUGCCAAGGGUUACAUCUGUGUUGGAUGUCAGACCUCACCUUGUGUUCUGUGGAGUCCUGCAUCUCCAGCCCCCUCGGCACACCACGAUAGUCGUUCAUUCUGCAUAUCAGUUACAGCUGGAUCUGGGAAGGGUUAGCGCCGCAGUUGUAAAUGUGGCCUGGGUAAAGCUAUGAGUGUACAGGGAAGGAGGAACACCAACCAGACCAAGAUAUCUUAUGUGUUUUUGAAGAAUGCAUGAAGAUAUUUCUGAAUUCUUGAAGGAAAUCUGUGCCUUCCCUUUGAGUUCUCCCAUUUGCAGCAUCCAGAAUCAAGACAGUUGUGUGGGACAUGUUCAGUACCACGAGCUGUAGACUUCUGCUGACAGGCUGAGCAGUGUGGGAUACCUGCUAUGGCCAAUGUGCACCAUCAGUGUUUAACAUGGGCAGUGAUCCCCAUUGUAUGUCCAAACACCACAUCAAGCCCAUUACUCAAUGUAAAUCCCUGAUCCACAGCGGGUAAAAAUUACAUGUAAAACAUUUCUUGAUCACGUGCAAACAGGAUUUAAUUGCUCCAGAGUUUGAAGCCAGCUCUUUAUUUUGAGAGCUGGGCAUAGGCACAAACGUGGGUUGUCUGACUAGUCUGCUUCAUGCCAAUUUCAGCUUCUUUAGAUGAGCUUUCCUGGAACUGGUCCAUGUUGAUUUCAAGCCCUUUGAUAGCUAUAGUAGUCGUGUUGGGACUGGAGAGGACUUGGGCUGUUGUACAUAGCGCAGUGUUGGUAGAAUAGAGUGCUGUCCUUCCCCUGCCCCUAAUUUAUAGAUUUCAUACUUGCAUUUAUUUUUUAAUUUUUACUAUUCAAUUAGAUAAAAGUUCGGGCUGUGCAAUAUUAUAACGUGAAAAGAAGUAUCACGACAAGUUUUUUAAGAAAAAACAGAACAACAAAAUCACCAAUGUCUUCCAUUUGGAGAUGUAUAGUUCCACGCCACUUUAGUGCUUCAGUAGCAGCUGUAGUGCCAAACUUUAGAGGCAGUGCAUGAGGUUAGCAGAGCUUGCCGUGAGCAGUUUAACUGAAAAUAUUUUCUUUUAAUGGGGUGUAGCUUAAUGAACUAAUCAAGAUUCAGGUUUAAACAGCAGACUGGUUUGAGGGAUUUCAGGGUCGGUCUCAGACCCCGUGCUCCCAGCCUCUCCAUCUAUUCAACUUUGGCUUUGCAGUGAGCAUCGAUGCUUUAGAUGGCCCACUGCUUGCUUUGGGGAAGGCAUUGAUUCUUCAUUCAGAUCUAGUGUAGGGGUGUUGGUGGGAGUGUCUAACUGAGCAAGUGAACAUCCAGUCUCCCAUUCCAUGAACAAAGUGAUGAGUAUUGCAGAUGUUAACAAUUAGCUUCUGAAAAUGAGACCAAUAACUGAUCAAAAAUGGAUGCGUUAGAAAUCUAAAAAUCGCAUCCUCUUUCAGCUGGUGGCUUGUUUGCAUAGAGUGUGGGGUGGAGAGGGUUUGAUGAGGGAGGUUUAAGCAUCACAUUAUCUUUUAUCUACUCAUCGGGUUGCUCCGAGGCCCGUGAGAAGUAGAAUUCAUAUUACAAUGUGCAGCGGUAUUCACGCUGCAGUCCCAUUGUCGGUUCCGCGUAGUUCCCUUCCACCGAAACUGCAGCUUGGGGGAUUUGUGACAUGAUGCUGGCUUCAAUGAGACUCACCAGGGAAAGAAUUUUGCUUUGAAAUCAGCCUCGGUCUGAUUUGCAAAAGCAAGUUUGGUUUGGGGUGAAGCUGAAACCGGUGAUCGUGCCACAAAGCAGCAGCGUGCAAACACAAACAGUUGAUCGUCACAGUUUGCCUGUAACCCCUUGUGAUGAGGGUGGAGUUCAGUGCCAUUUAUUGAGCAUCAGGAGGCUUUGCUAGUUAUCAUUCGACCCUAUCUUGAAACAUCCUCCAUGCUAACUGAGACUAACUUCACAGGUCAGAUUAUAAUAUAACUGUCCCUAUUCAUUUUUUUUUAAGUAGUGCUUUGCAAAAUAAUUCUGCUUUGGAUAAGAUAUUUAAAUACCUCCUGGGUUUCAACCGCAGAUGGAACUCUUAGCACAAAUUAUAGUCACAUUAAAAUGCAAAUAAAGCCAUAUGAUUUUAGGGUAUCUGCCAUUAGUAGCAAUAACCGUUGUAUGUGUGUUAGUGAUGCUGUGCGGUAUAGAAGGCCUUGGAGAGAACUGGUUGAAGAAUGACCAAACGGACCUCAACCUAGUUAAUUCUAGUACUGGCUAAACUGUAGUCCUGCACACCUUGAAGUUAGGGGGAUCAGGAUAUCUCUAUACUUGGCUGGUGAGAGUCCAGCAGCAAUAUCUGUGACUGUCAAGGAUCUGAAUGCUUGGCCGGUUCUUGGCAACCAUCACUCCAACUCCCAGAGGAAGCCGGGAAAAGCCAAUCUCAGAUUUGCAGCAUCCAAGCACUUCUGAAAAUGGACAAAUGGGGGAAAAUGGCCAACUGGAUACAACCCAAAGCAAGCAAUCCCAAGAAUCUCAGUCCUGCAUGCAGCACACUUCGUACAGACUCUAAACACCUCCACAGGCCAGAUGUUCCCAGUUUCGCAAGGUCCGUCCUCUGUUACAUUGUGUUCGGGGGUUGCCACCAUGUGGACUUGUGUGCAGACAACUGGAUGCUGCCAGGACCUUGAACCAAUCACCAGAAACUGGUCCUAAGGAGGCCGCUUCUUCAAAUAUGCAUGUUCGCAAACGUACCAUAUAUGAUAACCAAGUCUGUAAUGAAAUCUGCCCACUGUUUAAUUAUGCAUAACAGACACUGAGCAAUAGGAAUUAAAAUAUAUGGCAGAUGUACCAUCCUGUUUGUUGUUGUUCGGCCAGCAAAGCUGAUUGUGCUUCGGAAGCUGUGGUGAGGCAUUGAGAUGGUGAAGCUGAAGCAAGAUAGCAGCACCUGCCUUGACUCAGGCACUGGCUCUGUGUGUUCCCAUCAUUUUACCAGCACCUCCCUCCAGUCAGCCUGUGCAAUGAUCAUUGUUUUGCCUAACCAAAUUGGGUGAACACCAAUAUCUUCCUUCUCCCUGACUUGCAGCCGUUGACAGACUUGCAACAGAGGUGUGUGGAGGUGUGCUUCUGUUGCUCUCUCUCCUGCUGACGUGGCUUUUGAUUCUUCCAUUUAGUGUCAGUUCACUGCUCACUGGUUGGCGUUAUAAUGAUGGCCACUGCACUUCUUAACCUGUGGAGCCAUCUCCAACAAAAUCGUUCAAUAUUUGGGCACAUUUUCAGUCUUCCCUUUCCAACAAUAGAGACACUGACUGUUCUGCUCCUGAUCAGUAUAAGCUCAUUUUGCAAAUGUUCUUUGUUGCCUCUGCUGCUUUUUUUCAUAUUCAGUGUAGCCUUCUACACGGUACUCGCUUUCCAAAUAAACUCUUAGUGCUUUUGGUCACUUUCAAAACUAUGUACUCAAAUUUUGAGCUCUGUCCCAUUUUUACCCCCUUAUUUUUGAUAUGUAAAUUUUCCUUGCUAACAUUAAAUAACAAAUUCUCAGUGCCCUUAGCGGUAUCUGCAAAAGUAGACAUUUUUCUCAGUUCUGGAGUAUAAAUGUCUGGCUCAGUAGCCCAAAUACUGAUCCUUUAGUCAUCUAAUCUGAGUAGCCACUGUCUACCAUGUCUGGGAUGCAGCUAACCAUUAAUUUUGUCACUUGUCUCUUUAUCCAUUUAUUCAGACUAUCAAAGAUAAUUUAGAAAUAUAAAUAAAUCACACAUUGCCGUGUCCACUCUGUUAUAUCUCUACGGAAUAUAGAAACGUAGGCCAAGGAAGAUUUCAGCUUUUAAUUCUUGCUGAGUGUUCACGUUAAAAACAGAAAAUGCUGGAAAUACUCAGGCUACAUCUCUUGAAGAGAAACAGAGUUAAUAGUCUGAAGAAGGGUUUCGGCCCGAAACGUUGCCUAUUUCCUUCGCUCCAUAGAUGCGCUACCGCACCCGCUGAGUUUCUCCAGCACUUUUGUCUACAGUUAAUAUUUCUCUCACCUGCUGAGUUUUUCCGGCAUUUUUUGUUUUUAUUUUAGAUUUCCAGUAUCUGCAGUUUUAUCUUUUUUUACUGACUUCAUUUUUUUUCCCCUUUAGUGUGAAUUAAUAUUUCAGCAUUUUUAUUCCUUGCCCUGACACGGAGCCAAUAGUUUCCUGGAUGUUUUCUGUCUUAACUGCAGGUAUAGAGUUACCCCGGAUAUAGUUUUAAGGAAAUGCAUUUAGAAGUGCCUCUAUCAUUUUCCAGAUAUUAAAACACGCAUAUGUAAUUAGUCCAAAUCAAGCUUUAUAAGAAAAAUGUGCAAUUUUAUGAUUUUUAAACAUCCUCGAGUUAUUAGCUGGUGUAAUUUCAAACACAUGGGUGAGGUUAGCUGACUGAAUUACAAUGUAAGUUGAUCUGUUCUAAAUUUAGGAUAGGAAGUUUCACUAUUGAGUAACCUGGUACUUGCUGAGAACAAAACGUUACCACAGGGCCGAGAGUAAACUGUGACUGGAUGUCAGCUGGCUCUUGGUACAAACCACAUGCACAGUGCCUGAUUCAAGAUGGUAGAUCAUGUGCAUUGCUAAUUGCUACAUUGCAGCACACUGCCUCAGUCCUCAGAUGCUCAGUUCAAUAAAAGCUGUGCUUUGCUGGGUCUAUAAAACAUCCCGCUGUCUAAAUGUGUUGUUUGAUUUUUGUUUACUGGAAUACCAGUGCUAUACGUUUUCUAGAUGCAUGAGGCAGCUUGCGUUAAACUAUGCAUUUCAGAGAGAAGGGAUGAGAAUUGCAUGAAUCGCUCACUACUGUAGAAUGAUCCCUUGAGCAGUUUAAUUGCUCUGAUUUCACCUCUGUACAGAACUAACAGCAAUAAAAGACCCGUGUGCCAAGGGUGCACCAGUGUUUA
Molecule: long non-coding RNA, 6212 nt
Organism: Amblyraja radiata (thorny skate)
Lineage: Eukaryota; Metazoa; Chordata; Chondrichthyes; Rajiformes; Rajidae
Exons: 2
Source: RefSeq, a predicted model, not a curated record